GUUUAUCACAGAAUAGGAAACAAAACAGGUCUGAAUUUUGAGAAGCUUGAAAUAGCAGCUGUGCAUUUGAACAAGCACUUCCAUUGCUCCUUGAACCCUGGAGGCUCCAAGUGAAACAGAGAGAAUGGCCUGAAGUCAAUAAACUUCAACCUCUUCUAGCAGUCCAGCUCCUGAUUCCACACAUCUGCUUAACCAUGAAGAUCAACACCCUGGCACAGACCCAGCUCAUCUCAGAUGAAGAUAUAUUUAAUAAGUGUUUCGAAAGAAUGAGGGGAUGUCUCAAAACACAAGUCUUAUAAGAUCUGCCUCCAGGACAGUGAGAAUCAGCUGGGAGGAGGCCACAGAAAAGGAGUAGAGAUCAGAGGCUAGAGCCUUCUACUCUCAAGGGGCUCAGCUCUCUUCUCCUCUGGGCAGGUAUGUGGAGGGGAUCGUCCACCUGUUCUACCACAGGGAUGAUGUUGUGAGAGGGGACCUUGAGCUAUAGGCCUGGUGUCAGGAGAUCACAGAGGUGAGGUUCUUCCAGGCCUAGGACUGAGGUGAGAUUCCCUCCCCAGAGAAGGGAGUACCUCAGACACUCUGCUCAGAGCCCCUUCUCAGCCUUGCCCUUCUGGGGACAUGAUCCUAACCCUUUGUCACUCCUUCUUCUUCCACACAUGAAACAUCUGAAUUCCAUUCCCACCUCUUAAGGUUCAAGACAAUUCUAGAAACCCAAAGAUUAUCUUCUUUAGAGACCUUGGUCAUCUACUCCAGAUUCAUCCCCCAAGCGUAGUCACAGAAUCCUCCAACCUGUCAUAGCAUGGGCUCCAAUAAAGCCAGAAUAACAGGCAGUGAGGGCUUUUCCCAGGCCCUAUUGGGCUCUCUCCUCAUGGUUGUCAAUUUUUUUUUUUAACCUAAGGAUGUAAAUGGGGACAUUAUUCCCAUCAAAGCUCCUGGCAUCCCACCCUGGCUUUCACUCCCUUCUCCUCCUUCCUUCUAUUGUCCAACACACAUAGAGGGUCCAGACAUACUAUAUACUUGCCUCAGAGCGAGGUCAUUUCUAGAUGCAAUCUCAAUACUGUACAUAU
Long non-coding RNA from Pteropus alecto (black flying fox), 1064 nucleotides. RefSeq lists it as uncharacterized. NCBI's taxonomy places the organism in Eukaryota, Metazoa, Chordata, Mammalia, Chiroptera, Pteropodidae. The record is from RefSeq and is a predicted model, not a curated record. The transcript is spliced from 3 exons.